This 430-nucleotide ribosomal RNA is filed under the name Bacillota bacterium. Its description in RNAcentral is "Firmicutes bacterium partial 16S ribosomal RNA". It matches the Rfam family "Bacterial small subunit ribosomal RNA", at positions 355 to 776 of the family's 1533-position model. Lineage: Bacteria; Bacillati; Bacillota. The record is from RNAcentral.
UCGAGGAUCUUCCGCAAUGGGCGCAAGCCUGACGGAGCGACGCCGCGUGUGGGAUGAAGGCCUUCGGGUUGUAAACCACUGUCACUCGUUAAGAAAGGGCUUAACGUUAACAGCGUUAGGAACUGACUAAGGCGAGAGAGGAAGCCACGGCUAACUUCGUGCCAGCAGCCGCGGUAAGACGAAGGUGGCGAGCGUUGUUCGGAAUCACUGGGCAUAAAGCGCACGUAGGCGGCGACGUAAGUUGGGUGUGAAAUCCCCCGGCCCAACCGGGGAACUGCGCCCAGUACUGCGUUGCUUGAGGAUCAAAGGGGUGCAUGGAAUUCCCGGUGGAGCGGUGAAAUGCGUUGAUAUCGGGAGGAACUCCGGCGGCGAAAGCGGUGCACUGGUUGAUUUCUGACGCUGAGGUGCGAAAGCCAGGGGAGCAAACGGG